This is a non-coding RNA of Gossypium raimondii (Peruvian cotton), 79 nucleotides long. The record is from Rfam. Lineage: Eukaryota; Viridiplantae; Streptophyta; Magnoliopsida; Malvales; Malvaceae.
GAUUGAGAUGAUGAUAUUUUGGUUCUGAAAAAAACAUAAAUGUUGACUAAAAAGUCAGACUACAAUUAUCUGAUCAUUU